Molecule: ribosomal RNA, 450 nt
Filed under: uncultured organism
Description: partial 16S ribosomal RNA
Rfam family: Bacterial small subunit ribosomal RNA
Source: RNAcentral
CACUCCUGCGGGAGGCAGCAGUGGGGAAUAUUGGACAAUGGGCGCAAGCCUGAUCCAGCCAUGCCGCGUGAGUGAUGAAGGCCCUAGGGUUGUAAAGCUCUUUCACCGGUGAAGAUAAUGACGGUAACCGGAGAAGAAGCCCCGGCUAACUUCGUGCCAGCAGCCGCGGUAAUACGAAGGGGGCUAGCGUUGUUCGGAUUUACUGGGCGUAAAGCGCACGUAGGCGGACUAUUAAGUCAGGGGUGAAAUCCCGGGGCUCAACCCCGGAACUGCCUUUGAUACUGGUAGUGUUGAGUUCGAGAGAGGUGAGUGGAAUUCCGAGUGUAGAGGUGAAAUUCGUAGAUAUUCGGAGGAACACCAGUGGCGAAGGCGGCUCACUGGCUCGAUACUGACGCUGAGGUGCGAAAGCGUGGGGAGCAAACAGGAUUAGAUACCCCUGUAGUCCCAUGA